This 2213-nucleotide ribosomal RNA is filed under the name Peniculistoma mytili. RNAcentral describes it as "SSU rRNA". The stretch from base 1 to 1723 matches the Rfam family "Eukaryotic small subunit ribosomal RNA". The record is from RNAcentral. Lineage: Eukaryota; Ciliophora; Oligohymenophorea; Pleuronematida; Peniculistomatidae.
UAGAUUAAGCCAUGCAUGUCUAAGUAUAAAUAGUAUACAGUGAAACUGCGAAUGGCUCAUUAAAACAGUUAUAGUUUAUUUGAUAAUUGAAAAUUACAUGGAUAACCGUGGUAAUUCUAGAGCUAAUACAUGCUGUCAAGCCCGACUUUUUGAAGGGUUGUAUUUAUUAGACUUAAGCCAAUAUUCCUCACGGUCUAUUGCGGUGAUUCAUAAUAACUGAUCGAAUCUCAUAUGUGAGAUAAAUCAUUCAAGUUUCUGCCCUAUCAGCUUUCGAUGGUAGUGUAUUGGACUACCAUGGCAGUAACGGGUAACGAAGAAUUAGGGUUCGAUUUCGGAGAGGGAGCAUGAGAAACGGCUACCACAUCUAAGGAAGGCAGCAGGCGCGUAAAUUACCCAAUCCUGACUCAGGGAGGUAGUGACAAGAAAUAGCAAACCGGGAGCCUCACGGUUUCACGGUAUUGCAAUGAGAACAAUUUAAAACUCUUAGCGAGGAACAAGUGGAGGACAAGUCUGGUGCCAGCACCCGCGGUAAUUCCAGCUCCACUAGCGUAUAUUAAAGUUGUUGCAGUUAAAAAGCUCGUAGUUGAACUUCUGUAUGGGGCUAGUUCUGACUUCUGUCUGGCUAGUCCCAUGCAUCCGCUUGUAAGACCUGGAGGGCAUUUAUUUGUCGCCAGGAGGAACAGGCUUUUUACUUUGAAAAAAUUAGAGUGUUUAAGGCAGGCUAUCGCCCGCAUAUAUUAGCAUGGAAUAAUAGAAUAGGACACUUUUCCAUUUCGUUGGUUAUUGGAAUCGUGUAAUGAUUAAUAGGGACAGUUGUGGGCAUUUGUAUUUAAUUGUCAGAGGUGAAAUUCUUGGAUUUAUUAAAGACAAACUAACGCGAAAGCAUUUGCCAAGGAUGUUUUCAUUAAUCAAGAACGAAAGUUAGGGGAUCAAAGACGAUCAGAUACCGUCCUAGUCUUAACUAUAAACUAUUCCGACUCAAUGUUUGGCUGGCUUCUUUAACCAGCUGAGCGUUGUAUGAGAAAUCAAAGUCUUUAGGUUCUGGGGGGAGUAUGGUUGCAAAGCUGAAACUUAAAGGAAUUGACGGAAGAGCACAACCAGGAGUGGAUUCUGCGGCUUAAUUUGACUCAACACGGGGAAACUUACCAGGUUAAAACAAUAGUGGGAUUGACAGCUUGAGAGCGCUUUCUUGAUUGGUUGGGUGGUGGUGCAUGGCCGUUCUUAGUUGGUGGAGUGAUUUGUCUGCUUAAUUGCGUUAACGAACGAGACCUUAACCUGCUUACUAGACUGGCGAUGAACAAUCGUCAGCUCUUCUUAGAGGGACUUUGGUUGUUUUAACUCCAAGGAAGUUUGAGGCAAUAACAGGUCUGUGAUGCCCUUAGAUAUCCUGGGCCGCACGCGUCAUACAAUGACUAGUUCAGAAAGUUUCAUCCUGACCCGGAAGGGGCUGGGUAAUCUUGUCAGUACUAGUCGUAUUAGGGAUAGAUCUUUGCAAUUAUAGAUCUUGAACGAGGAAUUCCUAGUAAGUGCGGUUCAUCAGACCGUACUGAUUACGUCCCUGCUCUUUGUACACACCGCCCGUCGCUUCUACCGAGUGAGUGGUCCGGUGAGAUACUUGGAUCAACGGGGCAACCCGAUUUGAGAAGAUUAUCAAACCUAUCCACUUCGAGGAAGAAGAAGUCGUAACAAGGUUUCCGUAGGUGAACCUGCGGAAGGAUCAUUGACACAACAAUCAAUACACCUAAACCUUUGUUCUGUAUGGCUGUCAGAUUUAUCUGGCAGUCAUAUUUUUACAAACCUUCUUAACAGAAGAAAAAACCAUAAACAAGUUAAAAACAAAAAAACCAAAAAUACUCAACAAUGGAUAUCUUGGUUCCCAUAUCGAUGAAGAACGCAGCGAAAUGCGAUAUGUAAUGCGAAUUGCAAAAUCCACGAGUCAUCAAAUCUUUGAACGCAACUGGCGUUGGCUACCUGCCAACAUAUUUGUAUCAGUGUGUAAGGAAAUCACAAAUCUGAAUGUGGUUGAGCGUAACAGCUCUCCCAUUAAACACGAGGGGUGGAGGACAACUCUGCCAAACGAAGUAGUCGCUAGCUAUCUAGUGAUCUCGUUUGAGCGCUAGUAGUCUUCAGAAACACCUUUAKAACAAGCUCUCUCCAUCCAUACCUGAUAUAAGUAAGACCACCCGCUGAACUUAAGCAUAUCAGUAAGCGGA